RNAcentral lists this transfer RNA (72 nucleotides) under Camelus bactrianus (Bactrian camel). It matches the Rfam family "tRNA". Rfam says of the family: Transfer RNA (tRNA) molecules are approximately 80 nucleotides in length. The record is from Rfam by way of RNAcentral. Lineage: Eukaryota; Metazoa; Chordata; Mammalia; Artiodactyla; Camelidae. RNAcentral also lists the same sequence under 2 other names.
GGGGGUAUAGCUCAGUGGUAAGGCACGUGCUUGGCAUGCACAGGGUCCUGGGUUCAAUCUUCAGUGCCUCCG